UACGGAGGAUGCAAGCGUUGUCCGGAUUUAUUGGGUUUAAAGGGUGCGUAGGCGGUCCGAUAAGUCAGUGGUUAAAUCACCUUGCUCAACAAGGGAAGUGCCAUUGAUACUGUCAGACUUGAAUGUUGUUUAGGUAAGCGGAAUUGGUAGUGUAGCGGUGAAAUGCUUAGAUAUUACCAGGAACACCGAUAGCGUAGGCAGCUUACUGAACAAAGAUUGACGCUGAGGCACGAAAGUGUGGGUAUCAAACAGG
Molecule: ribosomal RNA, 253 nt
Filed under: uncultured bacterium
Lineage: Bacteria
Description: partial 16S ribosomal RNA
Rfam family: Bacterial small subunit ribosomal RNA
Source: RNAcentral